This 539-nucleotide unclassified non-coding RNA is filed under the name Athalia rosae (coleseed sawfly). RNAcentral describes it as "misc RNA ENSAEAG00005012231.1". Lineage: Eukaryota; Metazoa; Arthropoda; Insecta; Hymenoptera; Athaliidae. The record is from RNAcentral.
CCCCCGAGCCGUCGUUUUUCUGCUGAUCGUAAAGGAUGAUACCAUUUUCCGCGUAAGUUUUAAAUUCCACCUCGAUGCUGAAGGUGUGGUAAGCUUUCAGACGAUUCAUUCUGACGAAGCUCUUGCCGUCGAAAGAGGGAAGAUCGUAGUCCCUCUUGUCUAUUUCCUCGUCGCACAAGAAACCCGUGUAAUUUGGUCGGCAGACGCAAACGAAUGUCGCACUUGGAAGGUCGACGCACGUCGAUGACAUGUGACAAGGAUAAGACAGACAGGCUCGAAACUCCUCCGUGGGCGAGACGGGAACGUAGUUGGCUGAAAACGGAAAGAAUAAGGCGUCUCGUUUCAACCACCGACCGAAACAUUCCUGUCUGUCGCUGGUCUCCGCGUAACCCUUCGAGCAGAUGCAGCCUCCGUUUAUACACUCGCUGUUAGGAAUUGUGCAAUCCUUGUCGUCGCUACAUAAAUCGCCAAGAAGUGCCGUAACGACACGAAUCGUUGCUGGAGUAGGCCGAUAAGCUGCAGCCACCCCUAAAACGUGA